RNAcentral lists this ribosomal RNA (406 nucleotides) under uncultured bacterium. RNAcentral describes it as "partial 16S ribosomal RNA". It matches the Rfam family "Bacterial small subunit ribosomal RNA", at positions 30 to 526 of the family's 1533-position model. The record is from RNAcentral.
AUUGAACGCUGGCGGCAGGCCUAACACAUGCAAGUAGAACGAGUGGCGGACGGGUGAGUAAUGUCUGGGAAACUGCCUGAUGGAGGGGGAUAACUACUGAAAACGGUAGCUAAUACCGCAUACCAUCGAAUGUGCCCAGAUGGGGUUGGCUAGUAGGUGGGGUAAAGGAUCACCUAGGAGACGAUACCUAGCUGGUCUGAAAGGAUGACCACCCUACAUGGAACUGAGCCACGGUCCAGACUCUUACGAGAGGCAGCAGUGGGGAUUAUUGCACAAUGGGGGCAAGCCUGAUGCAGCCAUGCGGCGUGUAUGAAGAGGGCCUGCGGGUUGUAAAGUACUUUCAGCGGGGAGGCGUUACCCGCAGAGGAAGCACCGGCUAACUCCGUGCCAGCAGCCGCGGUAAUUC